RNAcentral lists this ribosomal RNA (356 nucleotides) under Ornebius sp. 9 BHW-2013. Its description in RNAcentral is "partial 12S ribosomal RNA". The record is from RNAcentral. Lineage: Eukaryota; Metazoa; Arthropoda; Insecta; Orthoptera; Mogoplistidae.
AAUAAAUGUAAAUAAAGAAGAUUUAAGUAGUAAGAGAUAAGAUCUUGAAACUUAAAGAAUUUGGCGGUGUUUUAUUCUAUUCAGAGGAAUCUGUUUUGUAAUUGAUAUUACACGAUUGAAUUGACUUAAAUUUAUAAUUUGUAUAUCGCCGUCAUCAGAUUAUUUCGAUUAGAGGAAUUUAAUUAUUAAGAUAUUUAUUAGAAUAAAAUGUCAGGUCAAGGUGCAGUUUAUAUUUAAGAAUAAAAUGGAUUACAAUAAAUGAAGAUUUUUGGAUUAUUAAUGUGAUUGUUUUUAUGAAAUUGGAUUUGAAAGUAAAUUAAUUUAAAUUGAUUUAUUGAAGGAGCUCUAAAGCAUGU